RNAcentral lists this small RNA (125 nucleotides) under Marmota monax (woodchuck). Lineage: Eukaryota; Metazoa; Chordata; Mammalia; Rodentia; Sciuridae. The record is from RNAcentral.
GCCAGGUGUGGUGGCUCAUGCCUGUAAUCCCAGCAGCUCAGGAGGCUGAGGCAGGAGGAUCACAAAUUCAAACCCAGCCUCAGCAAAAGUGAGGCACUAAGCAACUCAGUGAGACCCUGUCUCUA